GCUGGGUGUGGUGGUGCACACCUGUAAUCCCAGCUACUUGGGAGGCUGAGGUGGAAGGAUCACUUGAGCCCAGGAGGUUGAGGCUGCAGUGAGCUAUGAUUGCACCACUGCACUCCAGCCUGGGCAAAGAGUGAGACCUCAU
Pan troglodytes (chimpanzee) is the source of this 142-nucleotide non-coding RNA. It matches the Rfam family "Metazoan signal recognition particle RNA". Rfam says of the family: The signal recognition particle (SRP) is a universally conserved ribonucleoprotein. Lineage: Eukaryota; Metazoa; Chordata; Mammalia; Primates; Hominidae. The record is from Rfam.